Molecule: long non-coding RNA, 262 nt
Filed under: Elaeis guineensis (African oil palm)
Lineage: Eukaryota; Viridiplantae; Streptophyta; Magnoliopsida; Arecales; Arecaceae
Description: long non-coding RNA (EGUI_LNC041853)
Source: RNAcentral
GGUAGAGAUCAUACUAUAUUUGAAGUUGCAGUGUAUCGUAAAAAUCUGGAGGACAUCCCUCUCUCUGUAAAUACAAUCCUUGGAGAUACAACGUACAUAAUUUUGAUUUUCAUUCGUAAUGCUGAAGCUAGGCAUCCAUCAUCUUUUGCUAUUUAUCCACGAGUAGAUUUCGAGCGAGACUGGACUCCUUAUGCACCAGUAGAAGAAGUUGGACCUGCAUUAGAGCCAUCUUCAUCGAAUGCUCCUCCAAAUAUCCGUAAUG